CAAGUCGCACGAGAAAGUCCUUCGGGGCGAGUACAGUGGCGCACGGGUGAGUAACGCGUGGGUGACGUGCCUUUUAGUGGGGGACAACCUCGGGAAACCGGGGCUAAUACCGCAUACGUAGUUUCUAUUUGAAUAGGAAACUAUAAAGAUGGCCUCUAUUUAUAAGCUAUCGCUAGAAGAUCGGCCCGCGUAGCAUUAGCUUGUUGGUGGGGUAAUGGCUUACCAAGGCUACGAUGCUUAACUGGUCUGAGAGGAUGAUCAGUCACACUGGAACUGAGACACGGUCCAGACUCCUACGGGAGGCAGCAGUAGGGAAUAUUGCACAAUGGGGGAAACCCUGAUGCAGCAAUGCCACGUGAGUGAGGAAGGCCUUCGGGUUGUAAAGCUCUGUCCUGAGGGAAGAACGGUAUAGUAGCUAAUAUCUAUUAUAUUUGACGGUACCUCAGAAGAAAGCACCGGCUAAUUCCGUACCAGCAGCCGCGGUAAUACGGAAGGUGCAAGCGUUGUUCGGAUUUACUGGGCGUAAAGCGCGCGCAGGCGGAUUGGCAAGUCAGAUGUGAAAUCUCAGGGCUCAACCCUGAAAUUGCGUCUGAAACUGUUAAUCUAGAGUAUCAGAGGGGAUAGGGGAAUUUCACGUGUAGGGGUAAAAUCCGUAGAGAUGUGAAGGAACACCGGUGGCGAAGGCGCCUAUCUGGAUGAUAACUGACGCUGAGGCGCGAAAGCGUGGGGAGCAAACAGGAUUAGAUACCCUGGUAGUCCACGCCGUAAACGAUGAGUACUAGCUAUUGUGGGUAUUG
This 797-nucleotide ribosomal RNA is filed under the name uncultured Bacteriovorax sp. RNAcentral's name for it is "bacterial SSU rRNA". It matches the Rfam family "Bacterial small subunit ribosomal RNA", at positions 58 to 834 of the family's 1533-position model. Lineage: Bacteria; Pseudomonadati; Bdellovibrionota; Bacteriovoracia; Bacteriovoracales; Bacteriovoracaceae. The record is from RNAcentral.